GACAGUCCUGAUCACUGUGAAGCAACAGAUUGAAUCAACAAACUGCUGACUCACUACCUGGGGUCCCGCCCAGAAGUGAAACCGACCAAUGGAACACUGCCAACUCACUGGCUAGCUCACUCAGAAGUGAACUCGCCAAUAACAAAUAGCUAGGGAAGAGCAAGCGAUAAAACUCCUCCCCACCUGUGUAUAAAUGUUGUGAUUAUUUUGAAGAUCGGCGCUCUUGUUUUUGACUUG
Molecule: long non-coding RNA, 237 nt
Organism: Notothenia coriiceps (black rockcod)
Lineage: Eukaryota; Metazoa; Chordata; Actinopteri; Perciformes; Nototheniidae
Exons: 3
Source: RefSeq, a predicted model, not a curated record